AUUGAACGCUGGCGGCAGGCUUAACACAUGCAAGUCGAGCGAGCGGCGGACGGGUGAGUAGUUGCUGGGAAACUGCCUGAUGGAGGGGUAUAACUACUGGAAACGGUAGCUAAUACCGCAUAACAUCAGAUGUGCCCAGAGGGGAUGAGCUAGUGGGUGGGGUAAUGGCUCACCUAGGCGACGAUCCCUAGCUGGUCUGAGAGGAUGACCAGCCACACUGGAACUGAGACACGGUCCAGACUCCUACGGGAGGCAGCAGUGGGGAAUAUUCGGCAAUGGACGCAAGCCUGAUACAGCCAUGCCGCGUGUGUGAAGAAGGCCUUCGGAUUGUAAAGCACUUUCGGCGAAGAAGCGUUACCCACAGAAGAAGCAACGGCUAACUCCGUGCCAGCAGCCGCGGUAAUAC
Molecule: ribosomal RNA, 406 nt
Filed under: uncultured bacterium
Lineage: Bacteria
Description: partial 16S ribosomal RNA
Rfam family: Bacterial small subunit ribosomal RNA
Source: RNAcentral